RNA transcript from Rhinopithecus roxellana (golden snub-nosed monkey), 1185 nucleotides. It is a transcript of the gene named 60S ribosomal protein L6-like, with no coding region annotated. NCBI's taxonomy places the organism in Eukaryota, Metazoa, Chordata, Mammalia, Primates, Cercopithecidae. The record is from RefSeq and is a predicted model, not a curated record. The transcript is spliced from 2 exons.
AGAAUCACCUAGAGGGCUUAUUAAAACAGUCGCUGAGCCCAGCCCCAGAUCUCUGAUUCAGUAGUUCUGGGCUCAGGCCCAAGAAUUUGCAUUUCUAAAAAUUUCCCAGGUGAUUCUGAUGCUGCUGGUCUGGGAACUCGCUUUGAGAACCGGUGUAUUAUACAUUUUAUGUCUAUUGCCUGUCUCUUUCCCCCAGAAGAAUAUCUCGUGUGUGGAAGUGACACAAAAGUUUUAUGUCUCGCUCUCUUUCCCAUCUUGCAAGAUGGCGGGUGAAAAAGUUGAGAAGCCAGAUACUAAAGAGAAGAAACCCGAAGCCAAGAAGGCUGAUGCUGGUGGCAAGGUGAAAAAGGGUAACCUCAAGGCUAAGAAGCCCAAGAAGCGGAAGCCCCAUUGCAGCCGCAACCCUGUCCUUGUCAGAGGAAUUGGCAGGUAUUCCCGAUCUGCCACGUAUUCCAGAAAGGCCAUGUACAAGAGGAAGUACUCAGCCGCUAAAUCCAAGGUUGAAAAGAAAAAGAAGGAGACGGUUCUUGCAACUCUUACAAAACCAGUUGGUGGUGACAAGAACGGCGGUACCUGGGUGGUUAAACUUUGCAAAAUGCCUAGAUAUUAUCCUACUGAAGAUGUUCCUCGAAAGCUGUUGAGCCACGGCAAAAAACCCUUCAGUCAGCACAUGAGAAAACUGCGAACCAGCAUUACCCCCGGGACCAUUCUGAUCAUCCUCACUGGACGCCACGGGGGCAAGAGGGUGGUUUUCCUGAAGCAGUUGGCUAGUGGCUUGUUACUUGUGACUGGACCUCUGGUCCUCAAUCGAGUUCCUCUACGAAGAACACACCAGAAAUUUGUCAUUGCCCCCUCAACCAAAAUCAAUUAUCAGCAAUGUCAAAAUCCCAAAACAUCUUACUGAUGCUUACUUCAAGAAGAAGCAGCUGCAGAAGCCCAGACACCAGGAAGGUGAAAUCUUCGACACAGACAAAGAGAAAUAGGAGAUUACAGAGCAGGGCAAGAUUGAUCAGAAAGCUGUGGACUCACAAAUUCUACUAAAAAUCAAAGCUGUUCCUCAGGUCCAGGGCUACCUGCGAUCUGUGUUUGCCCUGACGAAUGGAAUUUAUCCUCACAAAUUGGUGUUCUAAAUGUCUUAAGAACCUCAUUAAAUAGCUAACUACAAAAAAAAAAAAAAAAAAAAAA